CGGGCGCAGAUCAUGGACAACCUUAGCUGGAGGUGAGCCGCAAGCGGUGAGCCGGUGAGGGCCAGUAGUUUUAAGUUGUGCCGCAUGCCGCUGUGGGAAACAAGGUCAUCCGCCCCGUCGGCCGCAGCGGCGGACCGACAGCAGAUGGCAGCGUUAGUGGAGCAGGAGGCGAGGAUAGGACCUUCUCGUCGUCCGACAUGGCCGGCGACGGUGCACUCGACCAUUGCCGGUAGCAGUGUCGAAGCUAUAGGGGGUGCCGAACUGGGCCUGGCACCCCCCAAUGGCCCAUGAACGAUUCCCCACCCCCGACAAAGCCCAUCUGGCCAUCUGCGCAGCUGCCCAGCCCAUUAGCACUUGGAGUCUCGAUAUACGGGAGAGAGUCAAGCGAUACCUCGGCUUCGUCGUGAAGUCCCAUCGCUUGCGAGAUGGCUAACGGGCGAUCGCUAGGGGCCGGCCUUCAGUUUCUCAAGCACGCAGCACCGACGCAUCGUUUCCGGUCUCCCUCGUCCCGUCCGGCGCUAAUCGGCGAUCAGCCGAUUGCAGUCUCGUGGCGACGCGGCCAGCCGCCGAUAGAGUGGCUGCUCGAGGCACCAAGCAGGAGCUAGGAGCAAGCAAUCCAACAGAGGUGGUCUGCAGAACAUGCGCACAUCUUCUGAGCUCACGGACCAGGUUCCACCUAUCUGUUGGCUGCUGCUUUUUGCUACAUCAAAAUUGCUAGGUGUUUAGCUAAGAUGAAGAGGAAGAUAACAACGAUUGAUUGCUUUUACAAGCCAGUGGCUCCAAGGGCAGGCUCUGUUGAAAAAUCCUAACCCAACUAAUGUGGAAGCUGUUGAUCCGGUUAAUCUGCAAUCUCCUAAUCAGAACAGUGCUGAACCUUUAGAGCUGAACAAGGAAUUGUAACUACGGCAUUUGAAAGGGACCCAGGGUGCCCAUCGAUCGGCUAGAGGAGGUGGAAGCGGUUUUGCUCGAUUUUUCUUGGGUUUUAGUUGAAGAUUGAAGCCUACAAGGUACCCAUUGAAUGUAAUGGAUCUGGAAUGGAUAACUACAGCGGAUCGUGGCUCUCGUUGCCGUGGCCACCAGCACAAACUUAGUUGAUGCACUGGAAUAAAUUUGGUGUCCAUGUCAUGAUUGCAAAAAAGACAGACAACUUUCGGCUCAACAGGUCCAUGCACAUCUUCUUACAAGGGGUUUUGUGGGCAACUUCCUUGGCGAGGAGGAGCAAGGUGAGGGAAGUGCCGGCAACUAUCACGGGCAUGAUGCAAAUGACGGCUGCGAGGAGGAGGAGGACCAAACGUGUGUCGAUCAUGGUGAACCUAUUCUAGAUCAGAUGCUGCGCGAUGGGGAGAGGUUUGGCACUGAUAAUAGGGAAUAUCGCAAGAUCACAACCAUGGUGAAGGACUCCAAAACUCUAGUUUACAAUGGAUGUAAGUAGGGGUGGACAGGAAGCUCGUGGCUCGUUAGCUCGCUCGGCUCGUGACAAGCCCGGCUCGGCUUCAUUUUUCUAACAAGCCGGGCUAGGAUUUUAGCUCGUUAGAGAUAACGAGCCAGCUCGAGCUGCUCGCGAGCCUUAACGAGCUAGGCCUUGACAAGUUAGCAGGCCGCAGCCCACAACUUUUAGACUUCAAAAAUUUUAGACUUACAAUCUUUUGAUUUAGGAAAUUUAAACUUAGCAUAUUUUGAGUUAGAAUAUAUAUUGAAAUGUUUAGGAUUUAAAGAUAGGAAUUUUUGGACCCAUGAGUUUUUAGACUUGGUGAAUUUUGACUUAGGGAUGAAAUUGGGGUCGUAUGGAAUUAGGGUUGUA
Oryza sativa Japonica Group (Japanese rice) is the source of this 1801-nucleotide non-coding RNA. The record is from RefSeq and is a predicted model, not a curated record. Lineage: Eukaryota; Viridiplantae; Streptophyta; Magnoliopsida; Poales; Poaceae.